AAAACCUGAUAAAUACAGGGGUGAAAGUAGGGGGGUAUGGCAGGGUACUGCAUACUCCUAAAAGAUUUAGCGGGGGUACGCAGUACCUGCAAGAGAGGGGAGCGGCUGUCUGCUGUAAAAAGUC
Poecilia latipinna (sailfin molly) is the source of this 124-nucleotide long non-coding RNA. RefSeq lists it as uncharacterized. NCBI's taxonomy places the organism in Eukaryota, Metazoa, Chordata, Actinopteri, Cyprinodontiformes, Poeciliidae. The transcript has 3 exons. The record is from RefSeq and is a predicted model, not a curated record.